GAACGCUGGCGGCAUGCUUAACACAUGCAAGUCGAACGGUAACAGGCCGCUGUGAUCCCUUCGGGGUGAACUUGGUGCUGACGAGUGGCGGACGGGUGAGUAAUGCUUAGGAAUCUGCCCAGAAGUGGGGGACAACCCGAGGAAACUCGGGCUAAUACCGCAUAAGCCCUUCGGGGGAAAGCGGGGGACUUUUCGGAGCCUCGCGCUUUUGGAUGAGCCUAAGUCGGAUUAGCUUGAUGGUGAGGUAAAAGCUCACCAUGGCGACGAUCCGUAGCUGGUCUGAGAGGACGAUCAGCCACACUGGGACUGAGACACGGCCCUAGACUCCUACGGGAGGCAGCAGUGGGGAAUAUUGGACAAUGGGGGCAACCCUGAUCCAGCAAUGCCGCGUGUGUGAAGAAGGCCUGCGGGUUGUAAAGCACUUUCAGUAGGGAAGAAAAGCCCGAGGUUAAUAACCUCGGGUCUUGACGUAACCUAAAGAAGAAGCACCGGCUAACUCCGUGCCAGCAGCCGCGGUAAUACGGAGGGUGCGAGCGUUAAUCGGAAUUACUGGGCGUAAAGCGCGCGCAGGCGGCUGGGUCAGUCGGAUGUGAAAGCCCCGGGCUUAACCUGGGAAUUGCAUUCGAUACUGCCCGGCUAGAGUAUGGGAGAGGGAAGUGGAAUUUCCGGUGUAGCGGUGAAAUGCGUAGAUAUCGGAAGGAACACCAGUGGCGAAGGCGGCUUCCUGGCCCAAUACUGACGCUCAGGUGCGAAAGCGUGGGGAGCGAACAGGAUUAGAUACCCUGGUAGUCCACGCUGUAAACGAUGAGAACUAGAUGUUGGGAGGGUUUGCCUCUCAGUGUCGCAGCUAACGCGUUAAGUUCUCCGCCUGGGGAGUACGACCGCAAGGUUGAAACUCAAAGGAAUUGACGGG
Molecule: ribosomal RNA, 913 nt
Filed under: uncultured bacterium
Lineage: Bacteria
Description: bacterial SSU rRNA
Rfam family: Bacterial small subunit ribosomal RNA
Source: RNAcentral